GGAGGUAGUGACAAUAAAUCACAAUGCGGGACUAUACGUCUUGCAAUUGGAUUGAGAACAAUGUACAACUCUUAUCGAUAAGCCAUUGGAGGGCAAGUCUGGCGCAUGCACCCGCGGUAAUUCCAGCUCCCAUAGCGUAUAUUAACGUUGUUGCAGUUAAAAAGCUCGUAGUUGAAGUGUGGGUGAUCGCUGUUGUGAGACUUCGGUCUCUCGACAGUAAGUCACCCCCUUCCAGUAUCCAGUAGUGGGUAUUCAGUUACUUACUAUUGUGUGUUGGUCGUUUACUGUGAGAAAAUUAGAGUGUUCAAAGCAGGCGUUUGCUUGAAUAGAUUAGCAUGGAAUAAUAAUUGAAGGCUUUCGUGUUCGAUUUGAUUGGUUUGUUCAUGGAAGCAAGGUUAAAAGGAACAGUUGGGGGUAUUCAUAUUCACUAGUUAGAGGUGAAAUUCUCGGAUUUAUGGAAGAUGAACAAGGGCGAAAGC
This 479-nucleotide ribosomal RNA is filed under the name Blastocystis sp. RNAcentral describes it as "SSU rRNA". It matches the Rfam family "Eukaryotic small subunit ribosomal RNA", at positions 460 to 952 of the family's 1831-position model. Lineage: Eukaryota; Bigyra; Opalinata; Blastocystidae. The record is from RNAcentral.